Long non-coding RNA from Pan paniscus (pygmy chimpanzee), 1237 nucleotides. NCBI's taxonomy places the organism in Eukaryota, Metazoa, Chordata, Mammalia, Primates, Hominidae. The record is from Ensembl.
CAAUCCUCCAGGUAGACAGAAAAGUUCUCCAAGUCCCUACCCGUCCCAGAAGCCCAGCCGGCUUCACCUCUCACUGGCACUCACCUGUGGCGCCUAGCCCGGGCACUCCAGCAGCCCAGUGGGAGCUCCUCCCCCAAUCAAGCCCAGCAGCUGCUGGCCAGCCACGCCCAGUGUGGGGACGCCAAGCCCCCGCCCACCCGGAACUCUUGACGGCCUGCGAGCGCCACCAGAAGCCCCGGCUCCCACAGGCGCCUCUCGCUCCACACCUCCAUGCAAGCAGAGGGAGCCGGCUCCAGCCUCGGCCAGCCCCAGAGAGGGGCCCCCACAGUGCAGUGGCGGCCAGAGCGGAUGCCGAGGCCCAGGAGAGGCCGAGAGUGAGCCAGGGCUGCUAGCACGUUGUCACCUCUCACUAGUAAGUACCGAUAAUCAGGUUUCCCACUCUCCGCCAGGAAAUCUCCUAAAAUCAACUUAGAUCAAGUUUGGAGAAUGAGCCUACCAAUUUUUUUCCAGUGUAGCAAGAAAGAUCACAAACAGAAUAGCAAUGACUACUAAUGCUGUCUCUGGCCCUUUGCAGACACCAGAAGAGGUGGAGAUGGUCCAUAUUUACAACAUUUGUUGCAGACAAUGAGACAAAUGUAGUCCAUACUCCACAAAUUGCCAGAAGUAAUGUUAUUUGACCCAACAGGAGGGAGAAAGCGGAAUUUGUGUGGAGAGUAAGAUGCUGAUGUUUGGAUGUGCAGAGAAGAGUUUCCAUAUAGCAGGAAAAGCCCUUUUUCCUUUCUCUCCAGCUUGUAAGGAAGAGUCUAGAUAUUCCCACAUAGCACUAAGUUCUUCUAAGGGACAAUACUGGAAAAAGAAGAAAUCACAAGCUGGGGAAAAAGAUAUACCAGAGUUUAGUUUUGAGAAGGGAUGCAGUGCUUGAGAGAAGAAGCUAUCAUCCACAUGAACCAUGAGGGUAGUGUUGAGCAAGAUGAGUGGAAACUACUGUUUGGUGGGAGCACACAUCAGCAAAGCCUUAUUUUUAGGUAAUAUAUCAGUUUAAAUCAAAAUGUAAGAAUAAGCAUAUUUUGGAGGAGGCACUAUAUCAUAAUAUGUGAGUAAAGGGUUCUAAGAUAGACUAUCUGUUUCAGAUUCCAUCAUCACAACUUUAUAGUUGUGUCUCCUUGAGAAAGUUAUUUAAAAUUCAGUUUCUAAUUUAAAAGUAAAAAUAAUAGUACCUAUCUCGAAGUGUUGAGAU